UACCAGCUCUCCGAGUGGUAGGGAUGAUUAUUGGGCUUAAAGCGUCCGUAGCCGGCUUAGCAAGUUUCCUGUUAAACUCAGCGACUCAAUCGUUGGAUCGCGGGAGAUACUACUAGGCUAGGAGGCGGGAGAGGUCAACGGUACUUCUGGGGUAGGGGUGAAAUCCUAUAAUCCCGGGAGGACCACCAGUGGCGAAGGCUGUUGACUAGAACGCGCUCGACGGUGAGGGACGAAAGCUGGGGUAGCAAACCGGAUUAGAUACCCGGGUAGUCCCAGCUGUAAACGAUGCAGGCUAGGUGUUUGGGCGGCCACGUGCCGCUCUAGUGCCGCAGGGAAGCCGUUAAGCCUGCCGCCUGGGGAGUACGGCCGCAAGGCUGAAACUUAAAGGAAUUGGCGGGGAGCACCACAAGGGUGAGCGUGCGGUUU
Molecule: ribosomal RNA, 426 nt
Filed under: uncultured archaeon
Lineage: Archaea
Description: bacterial SSU rRNA
Rfam family: Archaeal small subunit ribosomal RNA
Source: RNAcentral